UACGGGGGGGGGCAAGCGUUGUUCGGAAUUACUGGGCGUAAAGGGCGCGUAGGCGGCCUGCUAAGUCGGAUGUGAAAUCCCUCGGCUCAACCGAGGAACUGCAUCCGAUACUGGCGGGCUUGAAUCCGGGAGAGGGAUGUGGAAUUCCAGGUGUAGCGGUGAAAUGCGUAGAUAUCUGGAGGAACACCGGUGGCGAAGGCGGCAUCCUGGACCGGUAUUGACGCUGAGGCGCGAAAGCAUGGGGAGCCGAACAGG
Molecule: ribosomal RNA, 255 nt
Filed under: uncultured bacterium
Lineage: Bacteria
Description: partial 16S ribosomal RNA
Rfam family: Bacterial small subunit ribosomal RNA
Source: RNAcentral